CGCUCUAAAGUUUUCCAAUAAAAUUUUGCUAGAAAUUUCCACCAUUAAAUUUUCCCCCCCAUUACUACUCACCCAACUUUGAAAGGGCAAGGAGUGUACCCCCUAAAUUAAUUUUGAAUAGCCAUCCCCUAUUCCUCUUCCUCCGUUGAAUCUCGAUCCAUCGACUCCUGCUGAUGUUACUGCUCCUCCCACCACCAUCUUUUUGCUGAAAAUGAUCAACUCACUAGCUCAAUUAUUUGCUCUAUUGGUUGCUACGAACAGGUCAAAGGUAUAUUUCAAACCCUAACCAUAAGUCUCCCAUUGAUUUUUUGGUAAGAAUGAGCAUUAAUGCAGUAUUUUUUAUGGCUUGAGAGUCUUAUAUGUUAGUCCAAUAGGUAUAUGGCUUUUUUUAAGCGUUAAACACAAAUCUAAUCUGUUUUAUUUCUAAACUAAACCAACACGGGCAGUGACACCAGAAUUUCUACAUUUAUGGAAUUGAUAUGCUUGCUAUUUAAGAAUCUUGAUAUUGCUCGAACACACCAGAACAAUUCUUUUGGCUAAAUUUUAAAAUAUCUUUGUUUUCAAAAGCCCUAAAUAUUGAGUCUUUAGGAUUCGAACAAUCUCAAAGAUGUAUUGAAAUACUUCUACGAUGCUUUUGGAGAUCUGAACUUCUAAGCUUUCCCUAAUAAAUAGUACGAGCUAUGUUAGUGAUUUAAUUGGUCUAAUAUUGAUUCUUGCUCUUAGUGUAUAAGUUGGAUGUUAGAUUUUGGCUACUGAUUUGAAGGUUCUUUAAUCUUAAUAUUGGAAAGGUGCACUUUGAUUUGUUAGAUUUGGAAGUAUUUGACGAAUUGAAGAAGCUAGAGAUUUGGGAGAUGAAGCAUGAUUGGUGCUAAUUUCAGUUGUAUAAGCUCGAUAUUUUGCCCAGACUAUAAAUCUCUAUUGUCUGUCCAUAUUCUGAAACGUUACCGAACUUCCAAAUUUAUUUUCAUAACAUAGGAAUAAGAUUAUAGGAUGAUGGAGCACAGGAGAGCUACAGAAUUCAGUUUUGUGUAAUGUUUCUUUUGCCUUUUUAUUGUGAAGAAUGAUCCUAUUACAUAUCCUGUUUGGUGAGGAGAAAGAAAAGAAAAGAAAAAAGAGAAGGAAAAGUUGAAAUUAGUUGGAAGAUAUAAUACUCAGGUCCAUUUUGGUUGAUAAAUCCUUCAGUUUAAAAGUCACAAGCUUGUCUUUGAAUAAUAAUUUUAUUUACAGAGAGAGUUGAUUUUAGGAUGAUUUAGCUUUUUUAACUUCUCUGUUAGUUGUGAGUUUGACUGUUUAUCCACGUUUUGAUGAUCAAGUAUAUUGUUCAUUGAUGUUCUGUCCAAGCUAUUUUCUCUUUGUGUCUAGUUGUGUAAUGUACCGGCAACCAUUGUUGAUAUUGCUAUAUAAGGAUAUUCCACGCAACAGCCUGAAAUUGUGCAAUAUAAGAAUGCUGUCAUUAUUAUUUGAAAGUAAUGAUUUCAUCCAUGACUCUAACUCUUAUGUUGAACUUGAAAUUAUUGUAGGCAGGAGUUGAUGAUUGAGUGUAAUCCACCAGCAGAUUCAAACUUUCAUCGUCGUUUGUGGUAAAGUAAUAUUUAUCAAUUGUUUGGGCAUGAA
RNAcentral lists this long non-coding RNA (1614 nucleotides) under Nicotiana tabacum (common tobacco). RNAcentral's name for it is "long non-coding RNA (NTAB_LNC006408)". Lineage: Eukaryota; Viridiplantae; Streptophyta; Magnoliopsida; Solanales; Solanaceae. The record is from RNAcentral.